CAAUCCCUGCUAUUCUCCUCAUCUCACACACCUUUCUCUUUCAACAUCAACUUUUAGGUAUUCAUAUUCCCUGUCUCUCCUCGAGAAACACUCCAGCCCAGAACAAUUAUAUCGCCUUUCAUUCAUCUCUGAUCUCUUCAGAGUCCAAACUCAAACUCCUCCUUUUCUGGAUUCUUGAUUAGCAGUCUUUGACAGUUUAAAGGCAUACUUCAUAUCUUCAAAUCGCUCCAUAAAUUGCAUGUCUUUGAUGCCUUUUGCUGAGAUCAGGAGAUGCUAAAAACCAUUGAUAAAAAUUCAAUCUUGGUCAUUCUAUGCACGGAUUCUUUUUAUUUUCAGCCUCAGGGUUUUAACAGGUAUUCAGCUGUCAAGGUUUGAUUGUUCGGCCCGUCUUGCCUUAUCAUGGCAUCUAUUGGUAAACUUGCUCCAGAAUUUGCUGAUAGUUAAGGAUUCUUCAAUGUAGGUGUUUCAAAAUGCCAUUGCAGAUCCCUGUGUGCAUCCUUUCUAAUAUAGAUGCUCUUCAUUUUGGCUUGAGUUAGUCUGCACCAAGAGUUGAUUCUAACUUGGUUACCUGGAGCUCUGCUACUAUUUCAUGGAACUUAAGGCAAAACUUUGCAGUUGGAAGAUAAAGUCCUCAAUGUACAGGAGACAUUCUGACCAUGCUUCUUCUUGAAAAGCUUGAACUCCCAACAUCAAAAUAGUGUUAUUCGGUCUUUAAGGAGAUUUUGCAAGCUCUACAGUUCAGAUGUUACAGUAGAAUGACAUUUAGGAUAAAGAGCUUGUUACUUUUGAAUGUUUGACCUGCUUUGGCUACAAAGGCUUUUUCCCUGUUUUUAGAAUACAUGAAGGCUUCCUUUUGGUUGGUAAUAGAUUGUGCCUGGUAUAAUCAAUAAUCAACCUACUUACCUAUAGUUGAACGUACGGUUACAUAUCUCCUUGUUUCAUUGAGUAGUUUAAUGACAGAAGAAGAUCAAAAGGUGAACUUUCCAAUAAAGUGACCUGUUACUCUAUGGUAGCAUGACCUUUUGAAGUGUCUGGUUGAGGAGGAUUUUGUAAUAUGAAUAUUUCUCCUGUUGAACCCU
Long non-coding RNA from Coffea arabica (coffee), 1079 nucleotides. RefSeq lists it as uncharacterized. Lineage: Eukaryota; Viridiplantae; Streptophyta; Magnoliopsida; Gentianales; Rubiaceae. The record is from RefSeq and is a predicted model, not a curated record.